AAAGAUUAAGUUAUUAAGGGCGCACGGUGGAUGCCUUGGCACUAGAAGCCGAUGAAGGACGUUACUAACGACGAUAUGCUUUGGGGAGCUGUAAGUAAGCUUUGAUCCAGAGAUUUCCGAAUGGGGGAA
RNAcentral lists this ribosomal RNA (129 nucleotides) under Staphylococcus felis. RNAcentral's name for it is "partial 23S ribosomal RNA". It matches the Rfam family "Bacterial large subunit ribosomal RNA", at positions 1 to 126 of the family's 2925-position model. The record is from RNAcentral. Lineage: Bacteria; Bacillati; Bacillota; Bacilli; Caryophanales; Staphylococcaceae.